This 483-nucleotide ribosomal RNA is filed under the name uncultured bacterium. RNAcentral describes it as "partial 16S ribosomal RNA". It matches the Rfam family "Bacterial small subunit ribosomal RNA", at positions 28 to 507 of the family's 1533-position model. The record is from RNAcentral.
GACGAACGCUGGCGGCGUGCUUAACACAUGCAAGUCGAACGCUGAAGCUCAGCUUUUGUUGGGUGGAUGAGUGGCGAACGGGUGAGUAACACGUGAGUAACCUGCCUCCUUCUUUGGGAUAACGCCCGGAAACGGGUGCUAAUACUGGAUAUUCACUGGUCUUCGCAUGGGGGUUGGUGGAAAGGGUUUUUCUGGUGGGGGAUGGGCUCGCGGCCUAUCAGCUUGUUGGUGGGGUGAUGGCCUACCAAGGCUUUGACGGGUAGCCGGCCUGAGAGGGUGACCGGGCACAUUGGGACUGAGAUACGGCCCAGACUACUACGGGAGGCAGCAGUGGGGAAUAUUGCACAAUGGGCGAAAGCCUGAUGCAGCGACGCCGCGUGAGGGAUGGAGGCCUUCGGGUUGUGAACCUCUUUCGCUCAUGGUCAAGCCGCAACAAUGGUUGUGGUGAGGGUAGUGGGUAAAGAAGCGCCGGCUAACUACGUG